RNAcentral lists this ribosomal RNA (212 nucleotides) under uncultured bacterium. RNAcentral describes it as "partial 16S ribosomal RNA". It matches the Rfam family "Bacterial small subunit ribosomal RNA", at positions 524 to 737 of the family's 1533-position model. The record is from RNAcentral.
UACGAGGGGUCCUAGCGUUGUUCGGAAUCACUGGGCGUAAAGCGUAUGUAGGCGGGCUUCUAAGUCAGAUGUGAAAUCCCAUGGCUCAACCAUGGAAUUGCAUUUGAAACUGGAGGUCUUGAGUGUGGGAGAGAUUGGUAGAAUACCUAGUGUAGUGGUGAAAUACGUAGAUAUUAGGUGGAAUACCGGAGGCGAAGGCGCAAGUGGCCAAC